This is a long non-coding RNA of Ornithorhynchus anatinus (platypus), 493 nucleotides long. RefSeq lists it as uncharacterized. NCBI's taxonomy places the organism in Eukaryota, Metazoa, Chordata, Mammalia, Monotremata, Ornithorhynchidae. The record is from RefSeq and is a predicted model, not a curated record. The transcript has 3 exons.
CUCGUUCCCCUCUCCUCUCUUUUCUCUCUCUCUCUCUCUCCCCUCCCAUUCGGGUCCGUGCCCCCUCCCUUUCGGCCUCUUCCUUCCCGCCCGAAGUCUGUACCACCUGUGCCCAACGAUUUCCCCGGGGCUCCCAACGGUUCUCUCCGUCCUUGGCGCUCCACCUCCUCCCCUCCCCUCCCGCCCCCCGCCACUUCCCCCACCACAGAGCGCAGCGAGGGCAGAAGCCUAGCGCGUUCAUCGAAGUCCCUCGGGGGUGGCUGGAAGUUAGCCGCUGCUACACUGACCAGAGAGCGAUGGAGUUCACCGCACCGCACUUAUUAAGCGCUUACCGCCUGUCAGUUACAUUGACAACUCAUGAAGACAGCUUUCAGAUGUUUGUUUAGGAAGAUCUUCUAUCACACUCGACCACUGUGGAGCAAUAUCAUGGUGAGAUGUCACCAAAGCUGUUUUCUGGGAGGUCAUCAUUAUCGACUGAUUCAUCACUGCAGUG